UACGUAGGGUGCGAGCGUUGUCCGGAAUUAUUAGGCGUAAAGGGCUCGUAGGCGGUUUGUCGCGUCGGGCGUGAAAACCCAGGGCUUAACCCUGGGCUGGCUUCCGAUACGGGCAGACUAGAGGUAUGCAGGGGAGAACGGAAUUCCUGGUGUAGCGGUGAAAUGCGCAGAUAUCAGGAGGAACACCGGUGGCGAAGGCGGUUCUCUGGGCAUUACCUGACGCUGAGGAGCGAAAGUGUGGGGAGCGAACAGG
Molecule: ribosomal RNA, 253 nt
Filed under: uncultured bacterium
Lineage: Bacteria
Description: partial 16S ribosomal RNA
Rfam family: Bacterial small subunit ribosomal RNA
Source: RNAcentral